CUUCCUAGUUAUUUUCCUCCACGGUGAAUCAAUGUUUUUUUCCUGUACAGAUACUUCAACACUCUCCCAGCCCACUUUCUUUCUUCCGCUCGCAUUGCCUUGUGACGCCACCUCGUGGUAGUCGUAUGAGACGAAGUGGCAGCCAUCUAGCUGCCGCGCCCACAGACAGGCGUACUCAUUGAAAGCCAACAUGCCGAGUUGUGAAAUUCCAGCGCGCUCAUCAGCCGCGUUAGUGGUUUCCAUUUGGUAUCAACGAAAAAAUUAAAUUGUAGGGUUUCACGCGCCAAAACCACCAUCAGAUUAUGAGCCACGCCAUAGUGGGGAAUUCCGGGUUAAUUCUGACCACCUGCAGUUCGUUAACGUACAUCUCAACCUAAGUAGACGGGCGCUUUUGCAAUUCGCCCCCACAGAAAUGAGGCCGCCGUGGCCGGGAUUUAAUCCUGCGACCUCGUGCUUAGCAGCGCAAAACCGAAGCCACUAAGCAACCGCGACAGGUAGGUAUCCAAAAAGUCUUUGCAAGCAAGGUUUUACCUCUGCAUUAGCAUUGCAAUCAGACUAAACGUUUUCCCUACGGAGAAGCGAGUCUGACUACUAAGAAGCUGAGGAACAAAAUUGCUACUUGUGCGGUGUACUGAAUGGCUUCCAUCAUUCCAAGUACAGACCUGAACAUCGCCCUUGAGGGCUCCGUGGUCGCUGCGCAUGCGUUAGCUGAGAGAAGGUGAGAAAGGAGAACAAUUUUGCUUUGCUGGAUGUGACGUCAUAUUGUUGUUCUUUUUUUUGUUUUGUUUUUUUUUUCUUAAAUAACUACUCUCGAAGUCCGACGAAAUGGCUCGCGUCUAGUUCGAGCGCGCACCGUGUGAUUGAUGUUGUGGUUCUCCUUUUGUUUUUUUGCGCAUGUUUGUAAGGUUAACGUUGCGGACAUUGCGGUGGGCCAGGGCUUGAUGACAUUCGUUGCCCAGCUGUCAGUGCUACCGCCACGCACUUGGAGCUAAGCUUCUGCUUACUUCCUUGGCCUGCACCUUAUAUUUUGGUUGUGUUUAUCAAGAUCUGACCUGCCGCUGCCUCGUUGAAGACAAAUGGACACAAGUACUGGUUGCUGUCGGUUUGCUCAAUGUGAACCUGAGCGAGUGCCCCUAUAUGCACGAACCUUGGAUUCGAUGUAGAAGGCAACGGACCAGUCGAAGGCUCGUCACCCGUGUCGCCCGACGCU
This is a long non-coding RNA of Dermacentor andersoni, 1210 nucleotides long. RefSeq lists it as uncharacterized. NCBI's taxonomy places the organism in Eukaryota, Metazoa, Arthropoda, Arachnida, Ixodida, Ixodidae. The record is from RefSeq and is a predicted model, not a curated record.